This 76-nucleotide transfer RNA is filed under the name Candidatus Altimarinota bacterium. RNAcentral's name for it is "tRNA-Thr". It matches the Rfam family "tRNA". From Rfam's summary of the family: Transfer RNA (tRNA) molecules are approximately 80 nucleotides in length. Their secondary structure includes four short double-helical elements and three loops (D, anti-codon, and T loops). Lineage: Bacteria; Candidatus Altimarinota. RNAcentral also lists the same sequence under 2 other names. The record is from RNAcentral.
GCCGCGAUAGCUCAGAUGGUAGAGCGCAUCCAUGGUAAGGAUGAGGUCACGGGUUCAAUUCCCGUUCGUGGCUCCA